This 504-nucleotide ribosomal RNA is filed under the name uncultured bacterium. RNAcentral describes it as "bacterial SSU rRNA". It matches the Rfam family "Bacterial small subunit ribosomal RNA", at positions 1005 to 1509 of the family's 1533-position model. The record is from RNAcentral.
GAUGCUUUAGUGCCUUCGGGAACUCUGAGACAGGUGCUGCAUGGCUGUCGUCAGCUCGUGUUGUGAAAUGUUGGGUUAAGUCCGCAACGAGCGCAACCCUUAUCCUUUGUUGCCAGCACGUAAUGGUGGGAACUCAAAGGAGACUGCCGGUGAUAAACCGGAGGAAGGUGGGGAUGACGUCAAGUCAUCAUGGCCCUUACGAGUAGGGCUACACACGUGCUACAAUGGCGUAUACAAAGAGAAGCGACCUCGCGAGAGCAAGCGGACCUCAUAAAGUGCGUCGUAGUCCGGAUUGGAGUCUGCAACUCGACUCCAUGAAGUCGGAAUCGCUAGUAAUCGUAAAUCAGAAUGUUACGGUGAAUACGUUCCCGGGCCUUGUACACACCGCCCGUCACACCAUGGGAGUGGGUUGCAAAAGAAGUAGAUAGCUUAACCUUCGGGAGGGCGUUUACCACUUUGUGAUUCAUGACUGGGGUGAAGUCGUAACAAGGUAAGCGUAGUGCU